GUCAGGGUGGUAGAGUGGUAUAGUGUCAGGGUGGUAGAGUGGUAUAGUGUCAGGGUGGUAGAGUGGUAUAGUGUCAGGGUGGUAGAGUGGUAUAGUGUCAGGGUGGUAGAGUGUCAGGGUGGUAGAGUGGUAUAGUGUCAGGGUGGUAGAGUGGUAUAGUGUCAGGGUGGUAGAGUGGUAGUGUCAGGAUGGUAUAGUGUCAGGGUGGUAGAGUGUCAGGGUGGUAGAGUGGUAUAGUGUCAGGGUGGUAGAGUGGUAGAGUGUCAGGGUGGUAGAGUGUCAGGGUGGUAGCGUGUCAGGGUGGUAGAGUGUCAGGGUGGUAGAGUGCCAGGGUGGUACAGUGGUACGAUGACUAUCAUACCCUGUAGCAUGAAGCAAUAUAUUCACACUAUCAUAACCUGUAGAAUGAAGCAAUAUAUUCACACUAUCAUACCCUGUAGAAUGAAGCAACAGUCGUAUGGACAGAACUUAGUUGACAG
Oncorhynchus tshawytscha (Chinook salmon) is the source of this 479-nucleotide long non-coding RNA. NCBI's taxonomy places the organism in Eukaryota, Metazoa, Chordata, Actinopteri, Salmoniformes, Salmonidae. The record is from Ensembl.